CAUGUGGGGCAAGCGUUGUUCGGAAUUACUGGGCAUAAAGGGUGCGUAGGUGGCUUGUUAAGUCAGGGGUGAAAGUUUUCGGCCCAACCGGAAAAUGGCCUUUGAUACUGGCGAGCUCGAGUGCGUGAGGGGUAACCGGAACGAGCAGUGUAGCGGUGAAAUGCGUAGAUAUUGCUCGGAAGGCCAACGGCGAAGGCAGGUUACUGGUGCACAACUGACACUGAGGCACGAAAGCGUGGGGAGCAAACAGGAUUAGAUACCCUGGUAGUCCACGCCGUAAACGAUGAGCACUAGGUAGGUGCCGAGCUAUUCGGUGCCUGCCGCAGGUAAUUUGGUAAGUGCUCCGCCUGGGGAGUAUGGUCGCAAGGCUG
This 371-nucleotide ribosomal RNA is filed under the name uncultured organism. Its description in RNAcentral is "bacterial SSU rRNA". It matches the Rfam family "Bacterial small subunit ribosomal RNA", at positions 526 to 896 of the family's 1533-position model. The record is from RNAcentral.